GGGUAGGUAGUCUAGCAUGGUAUGAUUCUGGUUUCGGGAACCAGAGGUCGUGGGUUCAACUCCCAUCCUACCCA
Molecule: transfer RNA, 74 nt
Filed under: Candidatus Helarchaeota archaeon
Lineage: Archaea; Promethearchaeati; Candidatus Helarchaeota
Description: tRNA-Pro
Rfam family: tRNA
About the family: Transfer RNA (tRNA) molecules are approximately 80 nucleotides in length. Their secondary structure includes four short double-helical elements and three loops (D, anti-codon, and T loops).
Source: RNAcentral